CGAAUUAGAGAGCAAUCAGCGCCUGGACGUGAUUCCCUUCCUGUUACGUUCGACGCCUUUCUUCCAUCACGAAGAGUUCCCAGGUCCCAGCCCUACGCCCCUACCUGCUGGCCGCCGACGCCGUGCACGCACAGACGCACUCCGACCUCGCCGUCCCCUGACUCUAGACAGGUACAGACUACUGAAGUUUGAUCGUCAGGAUUCUGGACAUUAGGUAUUGAGCAUUGUGUUUGUUCUCAUGGCGCCCAGCAAGAGGAACUAUCCAUCGGGUAGCCACAAAAG
Long non-coding RNA from Triticum aestivum (bread wheat), 282 nucleotides. RefSeq lists it as uncharacterized. The record is from RefSeq and is a predicted model, not a curated record. The transcript has 3 exons. Lineage: Eukaryota; Viridiplantae; Streptophyta; Magnoliopsida; Poales; Poaceae.